Non-coding RNA from Acanthosepion pharaonis, 99 nucleotides. NCBI's taxonomy places the organism in Eukaryota, Metazoa, Mollusca, Cephalopoda, Sepiida, Sepiidae. The record is from the annotation of a GenBank genome assembly.
AUUGACACACUGGUUUUCAUACAAUCCCUGAAGUUAAACAAUGUCGAGCCUGAUUAGUACCUACAUGGGUGACUGCUUGGGAAUACCAGGUACUGCAAG